AAGAGAUCAAAAAGAAAACGGACGAGAACCCAUGGGCUGUUAGACUGAGACAACAGCUCCGGGCUCAGGCACGCCGGCUGCGCUCUGCGCUGAGGGUGGGCACAUGGGAACUCCUUGAACGGCCCCAGCGAGGGCUAGUGUUAUCUCCAUUCUACAGCUGAGGAAACUGAGGCCAAGGGAGAUCAACACUCGAUUCCUACAGGAAUAGGAAGAAUGCUACAAUCCCAGCAACGAAGGAACAACCUCAGCUACACCGACUCUUUUCCAUGCUCAUUCUGACUUCUUUUUUACCCAAAUGGGUUCAUAGGACUCAGACUAUUUUCAAGCUGCUUUUUUUCACUCAACAGCAAAUGGCACUCAUCGUCCCAUGUAAGCAAACAGCUCUGCGGUUCUCUUUGGGGCCUGACAAGCAUGCUGCUGUGCUCUCCUGCUGCGGCGGAUUUAACCACUCCCUAUUGGGAUCCAGAUUGUUGCCAACUUUUAGUUAUUACAAGCUGCACUGCAGGGAAAUUCCAUGAAGCUAGGUCUUGGCACACGUCCUUUAUUCUGUCCUUAGGGCAUUUUCCGAGAAGUGGAAUUCCUAGGUCAGAGGGUGUGUACUUUUUUUUUUUGGCUGCACAUUUUUAAACUGUUUGAGAUGUAUUUGUGUGUGUGCGUUUCUGCAGGGUAUCUGUGGACCUGUGCCCAUAGGUUCACGCAGCCACCCAAGCAAAUCGUUG
RNAcentral lists this long non-coding RNA (719 nucleotides) under Equus caballus (horse). RNAcentral's name for it is "lncRNA (ENSECAG00000057641.1)". The record is from RNAcentral. Lineage: Eukaryota; Metazoa; Chordata; Mammalia; Perissodactyla; Equidae.